RNAcentral lists this ribosomal RNA (253 nucleotides) under uncultured bacterium. RNAcentral describes it as "partial 16S ribosomal RNA". It matches the Rfam family "Bacterial small subunit ribosomal RNA", at positions 524 to 776 of the family's 1533-position model. The record is from RNAcentral.
UACGAAGGGGGCUAGCGUUGCUCGGAAUCACUGGGCGUAAAGCGCACGUAGGCGGAUUGUUAAGUCGGGGGUGAAAUCCUGGAGCUCAACUCCAGAACUGCCUUCGAUACUGACGAUCUCGAGUCCGGGAGAGGUGAGUGGAACUCCGAGUGUAGAGGUGAAAUUCGUAGAUAUUCGGAAGAACACCAGUGGCGAAGGCGGCUCACUGGCCCGGUACUGACGCUGAUGCGCGAAAGCCAGGGGAGCGAACGGG